Molecule: long non-coding RNA, 200 nt
Organism: Triticum dicoccoides
Lineage: Eukaryota; Viridiplantae; Streptophyta; Magnoliopsida; Poales; Poaceae
Exons: 3
Source: RefSeq, a predicted model, not a curated record
CGGGGAUGCAGGGUGAUAGGGCCCAGUCUAUGCUCCGGUUGUGUUGUUGGGAUUUUCAAGAUGGGCCUUCCUAUCCAUAAGUUUGUCUUUAUACUGCAUAUUAAUUCACUCUUUUGGUUUUUCAAAUGCCCUGAUGGGAUGACCCUAAACAUGGAUAGUUUAACUUGGUAUAUCAGCUCAAACACCUGAUCCGCAAAAUG